UCCCACCCACACUCCUGACCUAUGACAGCAGAAAAGAAGGGAAUGAGGAAGGGAAGAAAAAUUCAUUUCAGGUUGUUUAUAGGACUCUUUUCUUGAAAAUGAGUAUUUCUUUACAAAAGGCUGUCUCCUGUGAUGGCACUCUCCUAGGACUAGAAAUGGAGAAAAGGGGAAG
Molecule: long non-coding RNA, 172 nt
Filed under: Dasypus novemcinctus (nine-banded armadillo)
Lineage: Eukaryota; Metazoa; Chordata; Mammalia; Cingulata; Dasypodidae
Description: lncRNA (ENSDNOG00000052741.1)
Source: RNAcentral